Chelonoidis abingdonii (Abingdon island giant tortoise) is the source of this 3139-nucleotide long non-coding RNA. RefSeq lists it as uncharacterized. NCBI's taxonomy places the organism in Eukaryota, Metazoa, Chordata, Testudines, Testudinidae. The record is from RefSeq and is a predicted model, not a curated record.
GGAGCCCACCGGCUGCCUCGGGGAGCACCGGACCGCGCCAGCUCGGCUGUGGUGGAACAGGAACGUCUGGCCUUGGGUGGUAGCCAUGGGAGGGGACUGUUUCAGCCUGGCCCUCGCGGCUGCACAUCGUUCAGCAUGACUGAAACUGGCCAGAAAUAAAAUGACCUUAAAGAUGGUGGUGAUGAGAAGCAGCCUUGAAUCUUCUGCCGAGCAACUUCUGUCACCUGGGGAAGGCCCACAGGAAAAUGUCAGAUGCACAGCAACGCAGUAAAAAUUCUGGGCCCUCCCCACUGAUGUUGCAAUGGAAAUGCCAUAAGGGGUCGCCCAGGGAAUAUCCUCUGUGCAGGUGCCCCUGUGCUGGUGCAGAGCCAGCACCAUCAGCUUUGUGCUGCCUCCACAGCAACCCUGGGCAAAGAGAUGUUCCAAGGCAGAAGUGAAUUAUGGACAGAUUAGAGGAAGGAAGAGGCAUGGAUGGGGCCUGCACCCCAGCAAUUCUGCAUCUUGCAGUCUAUCACCAUAGAAGAAGAGUUUGAAAAAGAACCAUGCUUUGUUCAUCAAUUGCUGGGAUCUGCUAGCAUGACUUGUAGACACACUGGAGAAAUCGCUUCCGUCACUUCAGUGCCUCUGCACUGCUUCCAACAGUGGCUUCACUGGGCCCCUUGCCAGCUAGCAUAGAAGCUUCUCUGACCUCAGUGUUUUCUCAAAUUGGAAAGAUGUUUCUGUGGCUGUCUUUGCCAGUCAUGUGCCAUCCCCUAUAGCGAACACAGAAUCCUAUUGUUCUCAGCACCCAAUUCAGUAGUAAAACACCAGGCUUGUUCCAUCCGUCAGAGUCAUAAAGCAAGCAACACGAUGACCUAGGUACGGUAUUUCCACAGGUCCCCAUUGCCAGAGCAAUCUGAGCCCCUCACAAUGAUGUAUCCUCACUGUAUCCUGGGGAGGUGGGGAAGUGCUAUGGACUCUGAUGACUGCUUACCAGCUGGAUUAUGUUCUGGACGAGGUUCUUGGUCACCGUGAACUAAAGAAUACGCGGAUGGGGCAAGAAUAUAGAUAUGGAUGAAAGACUCUCUUUAGGAUGUAACACUGUUAGUGGUGAGUGGCAUCAUUCGAGCCUAUGUCAAGGAAAACACCUGUAUCUAGAUGGAAGCAAGCAGUCAUUUAAUAAGCCUAUUUUGGGAAAAGUUCUUCCCCCUGUGCCUUAAGUGACAUGGUUAAUGCUGCUUCCUCAGAAGGUUACUCAGUCACCUUAAUAUUUCUCUUAUGUCAUCUUUUUGCUUUGUUUUUCUCCUUCCAGAUUUUGAUUAGUUUUUCCUUCAACAUGGGGAAGAUGUCUGAUUCUAGAGGACUCUCUUUAAUUUGGCAGAUAGGAGAAUAACAAGGUCCAGUAGCUGGAAGCUGAAGCUGAACAAAUUCAAACUGGAAAUGAUGCCUAUAUUUUUAAGUAAGGGUAAUUAGAUAUUGGAACAACUUACCAAGGGAUGUGAUGGAAACCCCAUCUUUUGAAGUCUUUAAAUCAAGAUUUAAGGGACAGAUUCUCAGCUGGUGUAAAUUGUCAUAGCUCUGAUGUCAGUGGAGCUAAGACAGUUUGCACCAGCUAAGAAUCUGGACCUUGACGUCUUUCUAAAAUACGUGCUCUUGGCCAACUGCAAGUUAUUUGACUCAGUGCCAGAAUUAGUGGGUGAAACUGUCCAGCCUGUGUUAUACAGGAAGUCAGAUUAGAUGAUCACAGUGGUCUCUUCUGACUUUAGAAUCUGUGGAUUGUUGCUAGGAUAAACUCUAAAAGGUGAUGCUGUACCUUGAUAGAUUGGUAUUGCCAGACAUCUUCAGAGAGGAGCUAGCAGCAGUCAUUGCUUUCAUCUUAAAUUGUCAGCACGCACCUGAAUUGUUUCUCUUAUUCCUGUAAUGCUGGUAUCUGGUUUUUCAAGGCCUGUGUUUAUUCCUAUGGAAUGUGUAUUUUGCAGACUUGGUUCAUUCUUGGAGCAUUCUUGGUAUGUAAAGCUGUACCAGUUAUUUUGUAACUUUAAUACUAAAUAAAUGUGCCUUACUGCAUUUAGCUAAUUAUUCUUGAUUUAAUGUAAAUAGCUUUGUUGCACUUGGGAAGCAACCUAAAGCUGGAAUCCUUCCAGACUUGACAGCUGGAAUAUAGCAAGCCUUCCAGUACCUUCGUGUGCCUGAUAUUAUUCCUAAGUGAAGUCCAAACAAAUAAAUUGCAACUGAAAUCAAAUGUUGGGUCAAAGUAUUUCAAACCCAGGUUGGGGAGCCCUCACGCCAAGGGCACAGCAUCAAAGACAAGCUCCUCAAUUCUGUUCUUCCUUGCUGCAGUCGUGAGAUGUGUAUGAAUAGAUUUGAGAAUGGCAGUACAGUUGGCAUCUAAAGAUGUGAGGAUGGCUAAGUAGCGCAUGCUAAAAAUGAUGCCUGCAGCUUUUAUUUGCAGGCAGCACAGUGCCAUGAAGAGCCUAGUCUGCAGUUUUGCUGAAAAACUGAAUGAGAAGCAUGGGCAUUUUAUAAAAUGUCUUUAAUGACUGAGCGUAUAAUGCAUAGUUGAUUAUUUCACGAGGCCUCACUUAGUGGCAAAAGCUGAUGAUUCACAUGAGAGUGAGGCAUAUUUGAUUAUCUUGUUUUAUGGACUUCAUGCAGCUGCAAAAUACCUGACUUUAAGAUUAGCUUUGUGGUAUUUGUGUAAAUUAUGAGCAUGUUUGGCUUCAUCUGCCAACUGUGUGGUGAUUUAAGCUCUUUGCUUUUCUGGUCAUCUUUAUACAGCUCUUUGUCAAACAUAAACAAGAACAGAAAUCACUUGCUUUUGUGUAAGAAAUGAUCAUCAAAAGAUACUGGAGUUACUUGUGCAUAAAAGCAAUGCAGACUGCCAUCCUCACUCUGGGUACCUCUAUUUGAGCUGGGAGGUAAUUCCAAGCAUGCAUAGAUAUAGUGGGGGUAGCAUAGGUGGUGCCUCAGGCUAGCCACCUCACAACAUAUCCAGGGCGUCUGGGUGGGUAUGUACUUGGGUGCCAAGCCUGAGUCAUCGCCUGUGCUACCCCAGCUACAUGUCUACAUUUUAGUGAGUUAGCAUGGGUAGGAGUACUUGUGGCACCUUAGAGACUAACAAAUUUCUUUGAGCAUAAGCUUUUGUAGGCUACAGCCGACU